RNAcentral lists this ribosomal RNA (495 nucleotides) under uncultured bacterium. Its description in RNAcentral is "partial 16S ribosomal RNA". It matches the Rfam family "Bacterial small subunit ribosomal RNA", at positions 28 to 523 of the family's 1533-position model. The record is from RNAcentral.
GAUGAACGCUAGCGGGAGGCCUAACACAUGCAAGCUGAGCGGUAUUUGUCUUUCGGGACAGAGAGAGCGGCGUACGGGUGCGGAACACGUGUGCAACCUGCCUUUAUCAGGGGGAUAGCCUUUCGAAAGGAAGAUUAAUACCCCAUAAUAUAUGAAGUGGCAUCACUUUCUAUUGAAAACUGAGGUGGAUAAAGAUGGGCACGCGCAAGAUUAGAUAGUUGGUGAGGUAACGGCUCACCAAGUCGAUGAUCUUUAGGGGGCCCGAGAGGGUGAUCCCCCACACUGGUACUGAGACACGGACCAGACUCCUACGGGAGGCAGCAGUGAGGAAUAUUGGACAAUGGGUUAGCGCCUGAUCCAGCCAUCCCGCGUGAAGGACGACGGCCCUAUGGGUUGUAGACUUCUUUUGUACAGGGAUAAACCUACCCUCGUGAGGGUAGCUGAAGGUACUGUACGAAUAAGCACCGGCUAACUCCGUGCCAGCCGCCGCGGUAA